RNAcentral lists this transfer RNA (84 nucleotides) under Datura stramonium (jimsonweed). RNAcentral's name for it is "tRNA-Tyr". It matches the Rfam family "tRNA". From Rfam's summary of the family: Transfer RNA (tRNA) molecules are approximately 80 nucleotides in length. Lineage: Eukaryota; Viridiplantae; Streptophyta; Magnoliopsida; Solanales; Solanaceae. The record is from RNAcentral.
GGGUCGAUGCCCAAGCGGUUAAUGGGGAGGGACUAUAAAUUCGUUGGCAAUAUGUCUAUGGUGGUUGAAAUCCAGCUCGGCCCA